AGUCGAGGGGCAGCGGGGUAGUGCUUGCACUACUGCCGGCGACCGGCGCACGGGUGAGUAACACGUAUGGAACCUGCCCGCAACAGGGGGAUAAGCGGAAGAAAUUCCGUCUAAUACCGCGUAACAUUCUCCGGAGGCAUCUCCGGGGAAUCAAAGAUUCAUCGGUUGCGGAUGGCCAUGCGGCGCAUUAGCUAGUCGGCGGGGUAACGGCCCACCGAGGCGACGAUGCGUAGGGGUUCUGAGAGGAAGGUCCCCCACACUGGUACUGAGACACGGACCAGACUCCUACGGGAGGCAGCAGUGAGGAAUAUUGGUCAAUGGCCGAGAGGCUGAACCAGCCAAGUCGCGUGAGGGAUGACGGCCCUACGGGUUGUAAACCUCUUUUGUCAGGGAGCAAGGGGCAUCACGUGUGAUGCUGUGAGAGUACCUGAAGAAAAAGCAUCGGCUAACUCCGUGCCAGCAGCCGCGGUAAUACGGAGGAUGCGAGCGUUAUCCGGAUUUAUUGGGUUUAAAGGGUGCGCAGGCGGACUCUCAAGUCAGCGGUCAAAUCGCGGGGCUCAACCCCGUUCCGCCGUUGAAACUGGGAGCCUUGAGUGCGCGAGAAGUAGGCGGAAUGCGUGGUGUAGCGGUGAAAUGCAUAGAUAUCACGCAGAACUCCGAUUGCGAAGGCAGCCUACCGGCGCGCAACUGACGCUCAUGCACGAAAGCGUGGGUAUCGAACAGGAUUAGAUACCCUGGUAGUCCACGCAGUAAACGAUGAACACUAACUGUCCGGCCCGAUUGGGGGCUGGGUGGUACAGCGAAAGCGUUAAGUGUUCCACCUGGGGAGUACGCCGGCAACGGUGAAACUCAAAGGAAUUGACGGGGGCCCGCACAAGCGGAGGAACAUGUGGUUUAAUUCGAUGAUACGCGAGGAACCUUACCCGGGCU
This 930-nucleotide ribosomal RNA is filed under the name uncultured bacterium. RNAcentral describes it as "bacterial SSU rRNA". It matches the Rfam family "Bacterial small subunit ribosomal RNA", at positions 60 to 981 of the family's 1533-position model. The record is from RNAcentral.